Molecule: ribosomal RNA, 623 nt
Filed under: Phialophora sp. 837
Lineage: Eukaryota; Fungi; Ascomycota; Eurotiomycetes; Chaetothyriales; Herpotrichiellaceae
Description: eukaryotic LSU rRNA
Rfam family: 5.8S ribosomal RNA (bases 261-414)
Source: RNAcentral
UUCGGUCAUUUAGAGGAAGUAAAAGUCGUAACAAGGUUUCCGAUAGGUGAACCUGCGGAAGGAUCAUUAAUAAACCUAGUCGUUCGCGUACAUAGGGGCAACCCUCGCGUGAUGUCAGCAAUACCUAGGUAACCCUUGAAUAAACUACCCUCGUUGCUUUGGCGGGCCGCCUUCUAGGCCAGCGGCUUCGGCUGCUGCGCGCCCGCCGGAGGACCACAACUCUUGUUUUUAGUGACGUCUGAGUACUAUAUAAUAGUUAAAACUUUCAACAACGGAUCUCUUGGUUCUGGCAUCGAUGAAGAACGCAGCGAAAUGCGAUAAGUAAUGUGAAUUGCAGAAUUCAGUGAAUCAUCGAAUCUUUGAACGCACAUUGCGCCCUUUGGUAUUCCGAAGGGCAUGCCUGUUCGAGCGUCAUUAUAACCACUCAAGCCCUCGCUUGGUAUUGGGGCUCGCGGUCUCGCGGCCUCUAAACUCAGUGGCGGUGCCUGUCGGCUCUACGCGUAGUAAUACUCCUCGCGUCUGGGUCCGGCAGGUUGCCUGCCAGCAACCCCCAAAUUUUUACAGGUUGACCUCGGAUCAGGUAGGGAUACCCGCUGAACUUAAGCAUAUCAAUAAGCGGAGGA